RNAcentral lists this long non-coding RNA (646 nucleotides) under Ananas comosus (pineapple). RNAcentral describes it as "long non-coding RNA (ACOM_LNC004273)". Lineage: Eukaryota; Viridiplantae; Streptophyta; Magnoliopsida; Poales; Bromeliaceae. The record is from RNAcentral.
CCUACUGGGACAGUAAUGAAAGAAAAUAAACGGAUUCAGAACAGAAAACAUGAUAAAUUUUACGAUUCGAGACGGAUUUGGGACAGGAAACGGAAAAAAUUUUGACCUAUCCCGAAUCCGUUGGCCCGCCGUAAUCCGCAUUAAAAAAUCAUUUAUAUUUUUAAAAAAUAUUACUAAAAAAUAAUAUAUUUACAAAAAAGGUCAAAAUAUAAAUAAGUUAGCACUCUUAUUUCUAAUGCAUUUGAAACUUUUGAAUUUUGUUUUGAAUUGUUAUUGAUAUUUUUAAUUUUUAUAAUUAAUAUUAUUAAAUUAUAUAUAUAAUAUUAUUAAAAAUUAUUAAUUUAUAUUUUUAUAAAAUAUUAAUAAUAUUAUAAUUUUAUAAAAAAUAUUAGUGGGCGGGACGGAUUCGGGGCGUCGGCAGGUUACGAGGCAGAACGAAUUGUGAGAUAUAUUUUUUAACCCGUUACGGAUUCGAGACGGAAGGCAGGGUGAGAUUUUACUUAUCGGGGUGGGAGGCGGGGCGAGACUCCCGCUUCCAUAUCCGCCCGGUUUGCAUUCCUAUUGUUUAGUCAAACUUUUUGCACAUUUCCUUUUCGUUGUUCGAAAGAAUAAGGGGUUGGGGGGUUUUUUUAAUAAAAAAAAAUAU